AACUUCCCAACUGCUUCUGAUUGGAAGACUAAGGGAGAGGUCACAGAAGAUGGCUCCCUACUGAGGAUAAACCAACUUAGAGGAGACAGAGACUGCUGUUUGGAGUGGAGCAGGCAUGGUAACGGGAAUGACAGAGAUUUGGCCUGGGACUCGGAAGAGUGUUGAACUACCUGACCCACCUGAUGUGUAUGCUUCAAACUGAGUCCUAGAUUCUGAUUCAAACCAAGUUAAGUCUCCAGGGCCAGACUGAAGACAUGACAUAUCUUGGCCUGGACAGGGACGUGGAGAACAUGAAUAUGGACACUACCUGGGAGACCUGUUGGAGCUUUCUUCUCUUGACGAUGGGAGUACUCAGUAGCUGCAACCAGAGCAGAGAAGUCUUCAUGCUCCUCAGACAAGAAAACAUUGGUGCUGGGAGGCUAGUGUGAACCAGACGGGUACUGGUGACCAGAAGAAGUCAUAGGGCCUUCAUCCACUGAGCCCAUCAAGGCUUCAUUCAUACUCUCUUUUUCCUGUAGCUCUGUGCUCAGGCUAGGGGAAAAAGGAUAUGAUGAAACCAAGAAGGAUUGGAUGCCCGAGUCCCAGGUGGUCCUGAUUGGUGGUAGAGAGAGUGGUCACAGAAAGUGAGGGACAGUCCCCUCAAAGAGAA
Non-coding RNA from Equus caballus (horse), 649 nucleotides. Lineage: Eukaryota; Metazoa; Chordata; Mammalia; Perissodactyla; Equidae. The record is from RefSeq and is a predicted model, not a curated record.